RNAcentral lists this ribosomal RNA (174 nucleotides) under uncultured bacterium. RNAcentral describes it as "partial 16S ribosomal RNA". It matches the Rfam family "Bacterial small subunit ribosomal RNA", at positions 338 to 524 of the family's 1533-position model. The record is from RNAcentral.
CCUACGGGAGGCAGCAGUGGGGAAUAUUGCACAAUGGGCGCAAGCCUGAUGCAGCAACGCCGCGUGAGGGAUGACGGCCUUCGGGUUGUAAACCUCUUUUAGCAGGGAAGAAGCGAGAGUGACGGUACCUGCAGAAAAAGCGCCGGCUAACUACGUGCCAGCAGCCGCGGUAAU